AAUUAAAAUAGUWANACAUUUAUAAAAAUCAAARAAUURANAUANAAAAAUUANNRNARAUAUUGUAAUAAGAAACUCNAGUUAAGAGCUAUAUUUGUAGUACUGUGAAGGAAGAUUGAAAUAAUUAGUAAAGUUUAGAAUAAUUAAAGGAAAAUUUAUUUUUUGUACCUUUUGUAUAAUGGUUAAGCAAGAUUAAACUAAAAGUGUUUUGUUUCCCGAAACUUGAUGAGCUAAUGUACUCUACUUUAAAGAGAGAAAAAACUACUGUUGCAAUAGUAGUUUUUGAGGGUUUAUUAGAUGUGAAAUGCUAAUCGCAUUAAGUUAUAGCUGGUUUUUCAAGAAAUUAAUUUUAGUUAAUAGUGAACUUAUAAAGUAAGAAGUUCUUUAUGGAAAAAAAUACUUUUUUAUAAUUAUUCACUUUGAGACAAUUAGGGAUAAGCUUAUUUGUCAAGCAGGAAAAAGCCUUAAUAAAUAAUUAAGAACAUAAGUUUAAUAAAUAUUCUGAUAGAAGAAUAGUAGGAUUAAUAGCAUCUAACUUAAAUAAAAGCGUUAAAGCUUUUCUUUCACACAAGAAUAAAAAAUAUUGGUUACUAGGUUCGAAGUUUUUAUUAAAAUUAUUGAAAGUUUUUAUAAAAAAUUAUAAGACAUAAUGCUUAAAUUAGUAAAGUUAAAACAAUUGGCUGUGAAUUAAUCAUUCCUAACUUUGGAGGGAUAGAAAGCAAAAGUGAUCAGGAAUUGUGCUUCUAUACAAUGUCUUCCAACUCAGGUAAUUGGGUUUAUUAAUUAGAUGAGGAAAAGGAACUCGGCAAAUAUUGACUUCGCCUGUUUACCAAAAACAUCGCCCCUUGCAAAAUAAUUGAAGAAUAAGGGGUCCUGCCUGCCCAGUGACUUAGUUAAACGGCCGCGGUAUCUUGACCGUGCAAAGGUAGCAUAAUCAUUUGCCUCUUAAAUAGAGGCUGGUAUGAAUGGCAAGACUGGGGUUAAGCUGUCUCUUUCUCAAUACUUGAACUUUAUAUUUUUGUGAAGAAGCGGAAAUAUAUUCGUAGGACGAGAAGACCCUAUCGAGCUUUAGUGAAGUUACUAGUAGUGUUAGGGAUUUAAGAAAUCUAAUGAAAUAAUUUAUUACUUUAGAAAUUUAUUUUCUUAUGUCUCAAUAUUUAGUAAAAUAAUUUUGAUUGGGGCAAUCGCGGAGUAAAAAAACCCUCCGUUUAAAGUGUUAAAAGUUACUACUUUGAAAAUAAAGUGAUCCGCUGUAGAGCGAGCAAAGGAAUAAGUUACCGUAGGGAUAACAGCGUAAUUUUUUUGGAGAGUUCAUAUUGAUAAAAAAGUUUGCGACCUCGAUGUUGGAUCGAGAUUUCCUAGAGAUGCAGCAGUUUCUGAGGGUUGGUCUGUUCGACCAUUAAAAUCUUACGUGAUCUGAGUUCAGACCGGCGUAAGCCAGGUCAGUUUCUAUCCACGAAAGUUAAACUUUUCUUAGUACGAAAGGACCAGAAAAGUAGUACCAAUUUUUUAAAAAAGGUACUAAAAAAACUUUUGAAAAAAAAAUGAAAAUUUUAA
RNAcentral lists this ribosomal RNA (1557 nucleotides) under Pisaster ochraceus (purple sea star). RNAcentral's name for it is "16S ribosomal RNA". It matches the Rfam family "Bacterial large subunit ribosomal RNA". Lineage: Eukaryota; Metazoa; Echinodermata; Asteroidea; Forcipulatida; Asteriidae. The record is from RNAcentral.